Molecule: long non-coding RNA, 1500 nt
Organism: Esox lucius (northern pike)
Lineage: Eukaryota; Metazoa; Chordata; Actinopteri; Esociformes; Esocidae
Source: Ensembl
AUUUAACCCGACCAGUUGCACCAAAACAAGUUUAAACAGACCAGUUACCAAGAUCACUGGUUUCAGCAGGACAUGUUUUAUCUUUCUCCCUCCCUCUCUUUUUCUGUCUCCAUAUCUCUCCAUUCAUUCUCCAUCUCUUCACAGCCCUCUCGAAUUGAUGGGUGAAAUUCACCACUGCGCUCUCCAGAUUGGCUGGGACAGACUCUGGGACAUCCAGAUUGGUCGUCUGGCUGUGAGGGCUGUUAUGAUUGGUUUUCCUGCAGAGAGGUCAUCCCAGACAGACGUCUGACCGGUGGGCGGUGUGUGUGGCGGUGUGUGUGGCGGUGUGUGUGUGUAUUCUGACGCAUUGCUGCAGUGCCCUCCAUGCAAAUAGCUGUGCAACGCUAUUUCACCUCUUAGACACACAUAUGGAAGCAUUCAAGCAUGAAUGUAUAAGGGUGUGUGUGUGUAAACUGUAAUGACAUUAUGGAACAGUUGUAAUAUGUGUUCAGAUUAUUAUUACUGUUCUCCUCUGUUCAGACCCGGCAUAUUAGCACUCUGUCUCCAUGACAACCAGCAAAUCCUCCACCACCACCAGCUCCGCAACAAAGAUACCACAGCCCCCUUUACACACACACACACACACACACACACACUGAGAGAACCAGACCGCCAGUCUCUUUAGCAGGAAGUUAGUACAGAGGUGUGGAAGCAUCUAACAUUUGUUAACUAUCUGCUGGUCACCUCCACAAGCCAUCACCACAAGGAGAGCAGAGAGUGAGAGGUGAAACUGGGAGAGGGAAUGACAUAAAUAAUGUUUUGUGCAAGAAACAGAGGGACAGUGUUUCAUUUCUAAUAAUAGAACCACUGUGUAGUAGGGGAAAUGGAGAGGGAAGAGGAAAAGAGGGAGAAACGAGGUGUGGAAUAGGAGUGGCAAGAGAGGAGAAGAGAGGAGAGGAAGAAAAUAAGGGGAGGAAAGUGCCUCCCAGUAACAGCUAGUCCUAAAGAAGUGUGCAGGGUUUUGAUCCAGCCCUGUCCCAACAUCUGGUUCAAUCAUCUCGUCAGAUCGCCCCUGGCUCAAUCAUCUGGUCAACUCGACCAUGGUUCUGUCAUCUGGUCAGCUCACCCCUGGUUCUGUCAUCUGGUCAGCUCACCCCUGGUUCUGUCAUCUGGUCAGCUCACCCCUGGUUCUGUCAUCUGGUCAGCUCACCCCUGGUUCUGUCAUCUGGUCAGCUCACCCCUGGUUCUGUCAUCUGGUCAGCUCGCCCCUGGUUCGAUCAGCUGAGAUGUGUGGGUGUCAUGUUGUAGCUUCACCUUGUUACAGUAAAACUAUUUAUAUCUUGUUAGGAUACAGAAGGUAACAUCACAGACUAUUGUAUUGCAGAUUCCACCAUGAAAAGCAAAUAAAAAAGGAAUAAAAAUACUAAAUAUUUGGGGGCUUUAUGGUAUGGUCGAAUUAUUCUACAUGUGUGUUUGUGUAUGAGUUAGUUUGCCCAGUUCAGAGUCAGAGUAGGUGGUCAG